This is a non-coding RNA of Pelobates cultripes (western spadefoot toad), 157 nucleotides long. NCBI's taxonomy places the organism in Eukaryota, Metazoa, Chordata, Amphibia, Anura, Pelobatidae. The record is from the annotation of a GenBank genome assembly.
GCAGACACAUUCCAGCCAAUCAGCAGCAGACCCUCCCUCCCAGACCCUCCCACCUCCUGGACAGCAUCCAUUGUGAAGCUGCAUUCUUAGUGAGCUGUCCAGGAGGUGGGAGGGUCUGGGAGGGAGGGUCUACUGCUGAUUGGCUGGAAUGUGUCUG